Molecule: non-coding RNA, 781 nt
Filed under: Chrysis longula
Lineage: Eukaryota; Metazoa; Arthropoda; Insecta; Hymenoptera; Chrysididae
Source: RNAcentral
UUUAAAUUGUAUUAAAAAUUUUAAUAAAAAUUAAUAAAUUUAAUUAUAGUUUUAAAGUUAAUUUUUAAAUUUUUUAUAUAUAUAAAUAUUAGAUAUUUAAUAUUAAAGUAAGUAGUAUAUAAAUUUAAUAAAGUUAAAAAUAUUUAAAUUUAGGAAUUUUUAUAAUUUGGAUAAAUAAUUGUGCCAGCAAUCGUGGUUAAACAAUUUAAAUAAAUUAAUUUAAUUAAAUUAAAAUUAAAUGAAUAUUUAUAAUAAAAAUUUAAAUUGUUAGGUGAAAUUAAUUAAUUUAUAAUUAUUAUAUAUUAGUAUAAGUUGAAUUUUUAAAAGAUUUUUGAAAAACUAGGAUUAGAUACCCUAUUAUAAAAUUUAAAGAAUAUAAUUUAAAUAUUAAAUGAUUAAUCAUUAAAUUUAAAUAAUUUGGCGGUAUUUUAAUUUUAUUAGAGGAAUUUGUUAAUUAAUUGAUAUUACCCGAUAAGAUAAACUUUAAUUAAAUUUUUAUAUUGUUGUUUAAAGAGUAUUUUUAUAAAAAUUAUUUAAAAUUUUUUUUUAGAAAAAAAUUCAGAUCAAAAUGAAGUAAAUGUUAAAGAGUUAAUGAGUUACAAUAAAUUUAAUUUAAAUGAAUUUAUAAUUUAAAUAUUAUAAUGAAGGUGGAUUUAAAAGUAAAAUAAAAUAAUUAUUUUAUUUGAUUUAAAUUUUAAAAUAUGUACAAAUUGCCCGUCGUUCUCUUUGAAAAAGGAGGUAAGUCGUAACAAAGUAAAAGUACUGGAAAGUGUUUUUAGAU